UCACACUGUAGCACGGUGAAACCGCGAAUGGCUCAUUAAAUCAGUCGAGGUUUACUAGAUGAAAAGUAUCCUACUUGGAUAACUGUGGCAAUUCUAGAGCUAAUACAUGCAACCAAGCUCCGACCCUCGCGGAAAGAGCGCUUUUAUUAGUUCAAAACCAAUCGUCGUACCCUUCGCGGGGUGCGGCGUCCCGAUUGGUGACUCUGGAUAACUUUGUGCUGAUCGCAUGGCCUUUGCGCCGGCGACGCAUCUUUCAAAUGUCUGCCCUAUCAAAUGUCGAUGGUACGUGAUAUGCCUACCAUGUUUGUAACGGGUAACGGGGAAUCAGGGUUCGAUUCCGGAGAGGGAGCAUGAGAAAGGGCUACCACAUCCAAGGAAGGCAGAGGCGCGCC
This 392-nucleotide ribosomal RNA is filed under the name Indoplanorbis exustus. RNAcentral's name for it is "SSU rRNA". It matches the Rfam family "Eukaryotic small subunit ribosomal RNA", at positions 65 to 435 of the family's 1831-position model. The record is from RNAcentral. Lineage: Eukaryota; Metazoa; Mollusca; Gastropoda; Planorbidae.